GCGUGAGCGAUGAAGGCCUUCGGGUUGUAAAGCUCUUUUGACAGGGAUGAGGAAGGACAGUACCUGUGGAAUAAGUCUCGGCUAACUACGUGCCAGCAGCCGCGGUAACACGUAGGAGACAAGCGUUAUCCGGAUUUACUGGGUGUAAAGCGCGUGCAGGCGGUAGGAUAAGUUGGAUGUGAAAGCUCCUGGCUUAACUGGGAGAGGUCGUUCAAGACUGUCUUACUAGAGUGCAGCAGAGGGGAGUGGAAUUCCGAGUGUAGCGGUAAAAUGCAU
RNAcentral lists this ribosomal RNA (276 nucleotides) under uncultured bacterium. Its description in RNAcentral is "partial 16S ribosomal RNA". It matches the Rfam family "Bacterial small subunit ribosomal RNA", at positions 399 to 691 of the family's 1533-position model. The record is from RNAcentral.